Molecule: unclassified non-coding RNA, 379 nt
Filed under: uncultured bacterium
Lineage: Bacteria
Description: contains 16S-23S intergenic spacer region
Source: RNAcentral
UCCGAGUUGACCCCGGCAGUCUCCUAUGAGUUCCCACCAUUACGUGCUGGCAACAUAGGACGAGGGUUGCGCUCGUUGCGGGACUUAACCCAACAUCUCACGACACGAGCUGACGACAGCCAUGCAGCACCUGUGUUCCAGUUCCCUUUCGGGCACACCCGGCUUUCACCAGGCUUCCGGACAUGUCAAGGGUAGGUAAGGUUUUUCGCGUUGCAUCGAAUUAAUCCACAUAAUCCACCGCUUGUGCGGGUCCCCGUCAAUUCCUUUGAGUUUUAAUCUUGCGACCGUACUCCCCAGGCGGGAUGCUUAAUGCGUUAGCUGCGCCACUGAAGGGUAAACCCCCCAACGGCUAGCAUCCAUCGUUUACGGCGUGGACUAC